RNAcentral lists this ribosomal RNA (117 nucleotides) under Paramormyrops kingsleyae. Lineage: Eukaryota; Metazoa; Chordata; Actinopteri; Osteoglossiformes; Mormyridae. The record is from RNAcentral.
GUCAGCAGCCAUAGCACCUGCAGUUCAGACUAGGUUAUCCAUCUAAAGCUAUGCAGGUUUGGGCCUGGCCAGUAUUUAGAUGGGAGACCGACUAGGAAAGCUUGGUUGCUGCUGGAA